RNAcentral lists this ribosomal RNA (406 nucleotides) under uncultured bacterium. RNAcentral's name for it is "partial 16S ribosomal RNA". It matches the Rfam family "Bacterial small subunit ribosomal RNA", at positions 29 to 526 of the family's 1533-position model. The record is from RNAcentral.
AUUGAACGCUGGCGGCAGGCCUAACACAUGCAAGUCGAGCGAGGGGAGGACGGGGGAGGAAGGUCUGGGAAACAGCGGGAUGAAGAGGGAUAACUACGGGAAAAGGUAGGUAAAACCGCGUAUCAUCAGAUGUGGCCAGAUGGGAUUGGCUGGUCGGUGGGGUAACGGCUCACCUAGGCGACGAGCCCUAGCUGGUCUGAGAGGAUGACAAGCCACACUGGAACGGAGACACGGUCCAGACUCCUACGGGAGGCAGCAGUGGGGAAUAUUGCACAAUGGGCGCAAGCCUGAUGCAGCCAUGCCGCGUGUGUGAAGAAGGCCUUCGGGUUGUAAAGCACUUUCAGCGGGGAGGCGUUACCCGCAGAAGAAGCACCGGCUAACUCCGUGCCAGCAGCCGCGGUAAUUC